RNAcentral lists this ribosomal RNA (402 nucleotides) under uncultured Geobacter sp. RNAcentral's name for it is "bacterial SSU rRNA". It matches the Rfam family "Bacterial small subunit ribosomal RNA", at positions 80 to 472 of the family's 1533-position model. Lineage: Bacteria; Pseudomonadati; Thermodesulfobacteriota; Desulfuromonadia; Geobacterales; Geobacteraceae. The record is from RNAcentral.
UAUGAAUAAUACCUAGUGGCGAACGGGUGAGUAACGCGUGAGCAACCUGACCUUUUGAGGGGGAUAACAACCGGAAACGGUUGCUAAUACCGCAUAAGACCACACUGUCACAUGGCAGAGGGGUCAAAGGAGCAAUCCGCAGAAGGAGGGGCUCGCGUCCCAUUAGAUAGUUGGUGGGGUAAUGGCCUACCAAGGCGACGAUGGUUAGCUGGUCUGAGAGGAUGAUCAGCCACACUGGAACUGAGACACGGUCCAGACUCCUACGGGAGGCAGCAGUGGGGAAUUUUGCGCAAUGGGGGAAACCCUGACGCAGCAACGCCGCGUGGGUGAUGAAGGCCUUCGGGUCGUAAAGCUCUGUCUGGAGGGAAGAAAUGAUUGGGAGCUAAUACCUCUUGAUCUUGA